This 206-nucleotide long non-coding RNA is filed under the name Lathyrus oleraceus (garden pea). RNAcentral's name for it is "Pisum sativum (pea) long non-coding RNA (PSAT_LNC009965)". Lineage: Eukaryota; Viridiplantae; Streptophyta; Magnoliopsida; Fabales; Fabaceae. The record is from RNAcentral.
UUUUAUUUCAUUGGCAUACAAGACAAAAUUGGAGUUUAUUAACAUAUUAAAAAAGAAACUCUAAAACGGUGGGACAAAGCAAAAAGAAAUCCUAAACAAUUCAAAAAAAAGAAGAAGAAAAAAAGAGAGAGACAUGUGAGACAAAUCUAUCUAAAAGGUGUGUGUUGUACGGUUUCAAUGGAACCACAACUUUCAAUGCCCUAAUC